GCGCCCGUAGCUCAAUUGGAUAGAGCGUCGGACUUCGGAUCCGAUGGUUGCGGGUUCAAGUCCUGCCGGGCGCGCCA
Molecule: transfer RNA, 77 nt
Filed under: Thermotoga sp.
Lineage: Bacteria; Thermotogati; Thermotogota; Thermotogae; Thermotogales; Thermotogaceae
Also listed under: 3 other names
Description: tRNA-Arg
Rfam family: tRNA
About the family: Transfer RNA (tRNA) molecules are approximately 80 nucleotides in length. Their secondary structure includes four short double-helical elements and three loops (D, anti-codon, and T loops).
Source: RNAcentral